GACGAACGCUGGCGGCGUGCUUAACACAUGCAAGUCGAACGGAAAGGCCCUGUCUUUGUGGGGUGCGCGAGUGACGAACGGGUGAGUAACACGUGAGUAACCUGCACCUGACUUAGGGAUAUCGUAAGGAAACUGGGGCUAAUAACGGAUAGGAGCUCUUGCUGCUGGGUGGGGGUUGGAUAGUUUCGGUGGUUGGGGAUGGACUCGCGGCUUAUCAGCUUGUUGGGGGGGUAGUGGCUUACCAAGGCUUUGACGGGUAGCCGGCCUGGGAGGGCGACCGGCCCAAUUGGGAUGGGGAUACGGCCCGGACUCCUCCGGGAGGCAGCGGUGGGGAAUAUUGCACAGUGGGCGGAGCCCUGAUGCGGCAACGCCGCGUGCGGGAUGACGGCCUUGGGUUUGUAAACCGCUUCCGCCUGUGACGAGGCGUGAGUGACGGUACUGGGUGAAGAAGCACCGGCUAACUACGUG
Molecule: ribosomal RNA, 468 nt
Filed under: uncultured bacterium
Lineage: Bacteria
Description: partial 16S ribosomal RNA
Rfam family: Bacterial small subunit ribosomal RNA
Source: RNAcentral